UUUUCCAUCCAAUUCAAUAACUUAAGGAGAACUUAAAGGUUAAUUUAAGCGGACUUAAUUAACCUAGGGUGUUGAGUUUCAUGAUUGAUCGAAAGAACAACUAAAAAUUGGUUUAUGUGCAAGUAUGUCAUGUGUGGAGAAGUACCCUCUAGCUAGCCCAUCAUUCAUAGUUUAACCCAACACCCAUCAAUUCACCUAAAUUUGUUUAAGAAUCUAUUUAAAUUGUUCUUGCUUUGUUUUCCUUAUUUUCGUCCAAAACCAAAAUCCCCUUUAUUUUAUUAAGUCAUAUUAGUUAGUACUUGCUUUAGAUUGUGUUUUUAAGUGUUUUAAGUCAAGAUAAAAUCAAUUUUCGUCCAAACUUUGUGUUAGUGGCAGAAACUGCCUUAAAGUUGUUUUUAGGCAGUUUUGAGUCUCUAUAAUUUGUUUUGAGUCUUGUGACUUUGUUUUGAGUCUUGUAAGUUUAAUUUCAUGCUUUUAAGUUUGUUUUCACAUAUUUAAGUCAGUUUCAAGUGUUUUAGCAAUCGCUCCUAAUCCCCGGCCUAGAACGAUCCCUACUUACAUUCUUUACUACAAUUGACAACAAGAGGGUUUAAUUUGUGUGUUAGGUAAAUUUUCGCAUCAAAUUUUUGGUGCUGUUGCCGGGGAUUAGCAACAUUGCUAAUCCCUUGUUAUUUCUUUUUUGUUUAUUUUCGUGUGUUUUCAUGUUAGUUGCUGACCUUGUUUGUUUUCUUGUUUUAGGUACCAGUUUAUGACUCGGAAUUCUCAUCCAAUUCGUGAGCAUAUCUUGGACUUUGACGACGAUUUUGAGAGGACUUUGAGAAGGAAUAGGAAUCAACAAGAUCGUAACCCACCUAUUCCUGAACCUGACUUGGAAGAACAUCCACUUGAAGAAGAGGAGGAAGAUCCCAACAUGGCAACGGAUAAUCGAACAAUCAAGGAGCUUUCCGCUUCGAGAUUGAACAAUGCCGCUCCCCUAUGCAUCUAAUACCCCCUGGCUGCCCUAGGGAAGACAGACGAGUUCGAAUUAAAAUCAAGUUUGUUGCAUCACAUCCCUAAUUUCCACGGGAUGUCCAGCAAAGAUCCUAAUAAACACUUGAAGGAGUUCGAGAUUGUUUGUUCGAGCAUAACCCCUGUGAAUGUUGAUGGGAGCAUUCUGAAAAUGAAGGCUUUUCCCUUUUCUUUCUUAGAAAAGGCUAAAGAUUGGUUGUAUGAGCUAGCCCCCGGAACUGUCACAUCAUGGGAGAGUAUGAAACGGGCAUUUUUGGAGAAGUUUUUCCCAACCUCUCGAGUCAUUCUACUACGCAAAAGGAUUAGUGGCAUUUAGCAAAACCAAGGUGAAUCAUUUCCCACUUACUAUGAGCGUUUUAAAACUCUUGUUGCUUCACGUCCACAGCACCAGAUGAAGGAAGAGCUUCUUCUUCAAUAUUUCUACGAAAGGCUUCUACCAAUUGAACGUCAAAUGCUAGACGCCUCAGCGGGAGGAGCUUUGGUGGACAAAAUACCCAUGGCUGCCAAGACCUUAAUUGCUAACCGAGCAUUGAAUGCUCAACAAUAUGAAGGCGUUGGUCAAAGAGACACCACACGGCAAUAAGUGAACGAGGUAAGUUCCACAUCCGACAUUCAAUCACAGUUAACUAAUCUUACUUCCAUUGUGUCUCAGAUGGCCGAAGGAAUGAGGAUGAAAGAACCAAGUGUAUGUGGUGUGUGUUCUAUCCAAGGACAUGCCUCUGAAAAAUGCCCUCAAUUGAUUGAAAAUGGUGGAUGGGAAAGCGCCAAUGCAAUUGAAUUUCAAGGCCACAACCAGCCAAGGAACGAUCCAUAUUCUAAUACGUACAAUCCAGGUUGGAGAAACCAUCCAAAUUUCAAGUGGAGGUAGCCCCAACAGUCCCAACAACAAGGAGGCUUUAGGCAGCAACCUCCAGGCUUCUAUACCAAGCAAUACACACCAACACAAGCCCCCCAACAACCUGCCCAAAACACCUCAGGUACAUCUUUAGAUAAUGACACACUUCUUAAGUUACUCACCAAUUUGUCUCAGGGGCAAGAAAAUCAGGCCAAAGCAAUGCAAAACCAAGACAAAAGGGUGGACCAAAUGGAGAAGCAAAUUGGGCAGAUUGCGGAGUUUGUAGGACAAUUUAGAGAGCAAGGUAAGUUGCCUAGUUCGACCGUUGUCAACUCGAAUGGAGGAUUUGAAUUUGCAAAAGCCAUGAGUUUGCGAAGUGGAAAACAAGUUGGAUCUGAUCCCCAACCGUCCAAUUCACGUUCCAAUGAGGUUGAAGAGUUGAUAAUUGAAGAGGAGGAGCAAAGCACCCCCACGGAAAGGGUGGAAACAUCUUUGCCACAGGCCCCAAAAGCCCCUAAACCAUCCAAUUCGGCCAACAAAGGUAAGGAAGUUCCAAUUUUGAUUAAUUCUAACGUUAUUCCUCCAAAUGUACCCUUUCCUCGUAGGUUCAUGCAAUCAAAGAAGGAGGAGGCUGAAAAGGAUAUUUUGGAAAUGUUUAGAAAAGUUCAAGUCAAUAUACCACUUUUGGAUGCAAUUAAGCAAGUUCCAAGGUAUGCCAAGUUUUUGAAAGAACUUUGCACAACUAGGAAGAGAAUUUCGAGCAAGGAGGUUGUCAAGGUAAGUGAAAAUGUCUCAGCUGUUUUACAGCGUAAACUGCCCACUAAAUGCAAGGAUCCGGGUAGUUUUACUUUUCCUUGUGUAAUUGGGAAUACUCGUUUUGAAUCUGCCAUGUUAGACUUAGGUGCAUCUAUAAAUGUCAUGCCUUAUUCAAUUUAUGCAUCUAUGCACUUAGGCGAAUUGAAAAAUGAUGGUGUGAUUAUACAAUUGGCCAAUAGAUCUAAUGCCUAUCUAAAGGAAGUUUUGGAAGAUGUUUUAGUGCAAGUUAAUCACUUAAUCUUUCCGGCGGAUUUCUACGUGCUUGAAAUGGACGAGUCGGACCACUCCCCUACAUUACCCAUCCUCCUUGGACAGCCAUUCAUGAAAACUGCCCGUACUAAGAUUGAUGUGUUUAAUGGAACUUUGACGAUGGAAUUUGAUGGGGAAGUUAUCAAUUUCAAUCUUUCUGAUUCUAUCAAGUAUCCUAGUGAGAAUCACUCAUGUUUUUCUAUUGAUAUAUUUGCUUCUUUGGCGCAGGACCAUUUUGAACAAUUGAAUGACGAUGCCCUUGAAUUGGUCAUUGCACGAGGAAUGGACAUUCAAAACAAUGAAGCAAAAACCAUACAUCCCCACGACAUGAAUGAUUUUUCCCUUGCCGUACCCCCUAAUGAAGACAUGAUUGAGAUGGUGGCUGCCCUCAAAUCAUUGCCACUACAAUCUGGUAAGUUUUUGGACCCGAUAUCCAUUUCAGUUUUGACUAAUAAGUUACUUCCUUCAGUUGUGCAGCCACCUACACUUGAACUUAAGCCAUUUCCAAGCCAUUUAAAGUAUGUUUUCUUGGGCGAUGAUGAGACGUUGCCCGUCAUCAUCUCAAGCACACUCACGGCACAAGAGGAGGACAAGUUGGUAAGAGUGCUAAGGGAGUACAAAAUAGCAAUUGGGUGGACAUUGGCCGACAUAAAAGGAAUUAGUCCCACCACUUGCAUGCAUCACAUACUUUUGGAGGAGGGGUCUAAAACAUCUCGAGAAGCUCAACGCCGACUCAACCCUCCGAUGAUGGAAGUUGUGAAGAAGGAAAUAAUCAAGCUUUUAGAUUGUGAAGUGAUCUAUCCUAUUUCUGAUAGUCGUUGGGUUUCGCCUGUUCAAUGUGUCCCAAAGAAAUCCAGAGUAACUGUGGUGACAAAUGCUAAAAAUGAGCUUGUGCCUACUCGAAUCCAAACAGGUUGGAGGGUGUGUAUCGAUUACAGGAAGCUAAACGCCACCACUAGGAAAUACCACUUCCCUUUGCCAUUCAUUGAUUAAAUGCUUGAGAGGUUAACGGGUUAUGCUUUCUAUUGUUUUCUUGAUGGUUAUUCUGGUUAUAAUCAUAUUGUCAUAACACCCGAGGACUAAGAAAAAACCACUUUCGCAUGCCCCUUUGGUACAUUUGCUUAUCGCCGCAUGCCAUUUGGUUUAUGUAAUGCACCUGCCACAUUUCAAAGAUGCAUGAUGAGCAUAUUUUCUGAUUAUGUUGAGAAAAGUUUUGAAGUUUUUAUGGAUGAUUUCAACUUUUUUGGUGAUUCAUUUGAUGGUUGUUUGCAUAAUCUCAGUUUGAUCUUAAAACGAUGUGUUGAAACUAACCUUGUUCUCAAUUGGGAAAAAUGUCAUUUCAUGGUUAAACAAGGCAUAGUUUUAGGACAUAUCAUCUCUGAAAAAGGAAUGGAGGUUGAUAAAUCAAAGAUCGAUCUUGUACGUCACUUACCCUCUCCUACUUCGGUUAAAGAGGUUCGUUCUUUUCUUGGACAUGCAGGUUUCUAUCGAAUAUUUAUCAAAGAUUUCUCAAAGGUUUCCCAACCUCUUUGCCGUCUCCUUUAAAAAGAUGUGGCGUUUGACUUCAAUAAGGAGUGCACGGCAUCCUUCAAACAACUCAAAGAGUUGCUGACCAUGGUUCCCAUUAUUGUUCCACCGGAUUGGAGCCUUCCUUUUGAGCUCAUGUGUGACGUAUCCGAUUAUGCUUUAGGGGCUGUUUUAGGACAAAGGAAGGAUAAGAGGCCGCAUGUCAUCUACUAUGCUUCACGGACGUUGAAUGAUGCCCAAUUAAACUAUUCCACAACGGAAAAAGAACUUCUUGUCGUUGUCUUUGCUUUAGAUAAAUUUCGAUCAUAUUUAAUUGGUACUAAAGUAAUUGUUUUCACUGAUCAUGCAACUUUAAAAUAUUUGCUCAGCAAGAAGGAGGCCAAGCCAAGGCUAAUUCGAUGGAUAUUGCUUCUCCAAGAGUUCGACAUUGAGAUUCGAGACAAAAAGGGAAGUGAAAACGUGGUGGUUGACCACCUAAGCCAUAUGAUGCAUAAUGAGGAGUCCUUACCCAUUGCUGAAACGUUUCCUGAUAAACAAUUGAUGUCCAUUAAGGUAAGUGAACCUUGGUAUGCUGAUUUGGUAAACUUUUUGGUGUCUAAACAAAUUCCAAGCACUUUCACUAGACACCAACGUGAUAAGCUUAGAAAUGACGCACAGUUUUAUGUGUGGGAUGAUCCAUAUUUGUGGAAAUAUUGCCCGAAUCAGAUUAUUUGUCGAUGUGUGCAUGAUUCUGAGUUUCAUUUCAUUUUAAGCUUUUGUCAUACAUAUGCAUGUGGUGGUCACUUUGGCACACAAAGAACAACACUUAAGGUGUUACAAUAUGGGUUCUAUUGGCCUAGUAUCUUUAAGGAUGCUAUAAUUUUUUGCUUAACAUGUGAUAAAUGCCAAAGAAUAGGAAAUAUAAGUGCAAAUGAUCAAAUGCCGCGGGUUUCCAUCCUCAAUGUUGAAAUUUUUGACGUUUGGGGUAUUGAUUUUAUGGGUCCUUUCCCUUCCUCACAUGGUUUCCUUUAUAUCUUACUUGCUGUGGAUUAUGUAUCGAAAUGGGUGGAAGCAAAAGCCACCCGAACUAAUGAUUCUCGAGUGGUUGCAGAUUUCAUUAGAACUAACCUAUUUGCAAGGUUUGGAAUGCCACGAGUAAUCAUCAGUGAUGGAGGGUCUCACUUUUGCAAUCGAACCAUUGCGGCAUUGUUGAGGAAGUACAAUGUCAACCAUAAGGUUUCUACACCUUACCAUCCUCAAACCAAUGGGCAAGCCGAGGUCUCUAAUAGGGAGAUCAAGCAAAUUCUAGAGAAGACCAUUGGGCCAACAAGAAAGGAUUGGAGCUUGCGUUUGGAGGAUGCGUUGUGGACAUAUCGCACGGCAUAUAAAACACCGCUUGGCAUGUCCCCAUUUCGACUCAUCUAUGGCAAACCAUGCCAUCUUCCCGUAGAAUUGAAGCACAAGGCGCAUUGGGCCGUCAAAACAUUCAACAUGGACCUUGACGCCGCUGGAAUUUAUAAAAAGCUCCAAUUAAAUGAACUUAAAGAGAUUAGGCAUGAGGCUUAUGAAAAUGCCCGAAUUUACAAGGAGAAGACGAAGGCUUUCCAUGACAAGAUGAUUCGAGGCAAAUCAUUCUUCAUUGGGCAGAAAGUGUUACUCUUUAAUUCCCGCCUUCGCUUGUUUCCUGGUAAGUUGCGUUCCAAAUAGAUUGGUCCUUUUGUGGUUACUAAUGUUUUUCCGCAUGGUGCAGUCCAAAUACAAAGUUUGAAGACGCAACAAGAAUUCAAGGUAAAUGGGCAUCGUUUGAAGCCCUAUUAUGAGGCCUUUCAGGAGCAAGUCAUGGAGAAUGUACCCCUUCAUGCCGUGGGCCCUGUUCAAGCUUAAAUGGAGGUGUCGUCCAGCUAGAAGACGUUAAAGCAAGCGCUUCUUGGGAGGCAACCCAUGUAUUCAAAUGAGGAAGAUUUUUGAAUUGCUCCACAAGCAGUUUUACGUUUCUAAAAACCUUCCCUUUUCUGCAUUUUUAUUUUGCCUGAUUGUCAUUUUUUUUAAAUUUAUUUAUUUGUUGCUUAUUUAAUUAUUUUUGGGUUUGAAUUUAUUGUUAAGACAUUGACAGAUAUGCAAGGUAUUUUCACAUUAAAAUUCGUGGAAAAGAAACAAGAGACAGAAAAAUACAAGAGAAGCCUUCACAAAGGCUGUUUGGGAGAAGUCUCAGUAGUCGGCGGAGCCUCAGCAGUCGGCGGGUUCACAGAAGGAUGAGGUAUCGGAGGUUGAUCAUUUGGAGCUUCACUACACGGUACAGCCCCAGAAGACGAAGGCAAAUGCUGUUGGAACAAACCCACAAACCUCGGAUGAUCAAGUAAAAUCUGACCAUCAGAUUCCUGCAUCUGGUCAAUUUUCCUCUUCAUGUUUGUGGCAUAGUUGUGUGCGAGCUUAUGCAACUGUUUAUUCUUAUGCUUGAGCCCUCUAAUCUCCUGUUUGAGACUCAUUACUUCAGCCGCCAACGAUUCAACUUGACGUGUUCGAGCAAAUAGGCGUUGGGCCAUGUUAGACACAGAACCCGCACACUGCACACUAAGAGCCAGAGACUCCUUAACAACCAACUCAUCAGAAUGUUUGGAAAACAGUUUGUUAUCUUUAGGAGUGACAAGGUUCCAGGCCACCACCGCAGCAGUCAAGUCAUUCUUCAUCACCGAAUCCCCAAUGGUAAGAGGACCAGUUGGGGAUAUGAAGGAUGGGCGUCAUAUGUUGUCUGGAGAAGGCAUGGUAGCCUCUUCACCAAGGUUCAAGUCAAAACGACGGUCGGAAGGGCCAGACAUUUUCAAAGGUGUUGAAGAAAGAAGAGGUCGGACAAGUUAAGAUCUUAGAAGUGCAAAAAGGGAGUUUCUACAAGAGCAAAUUCAAGUGUGCUUUUAAAUGAAAUGCGUGCCUCUAUAAAAAUCAACACUCGACGGGAUUUCAGAUAUCGAAAAGGCGAGCUCAGAAUUCAAAUAGGCCAAUUUAAAAAUCGAAGAGGCGCUAGCUUUCUCAAAAGUUGGGCUUGCUCAGAAACCACAGGCCAUCCUCUUUUCCAGAUUUAUCUGCACUCGUCACAUGCAACCUCUACACUCGACGAAGUUCAGAACUCGAAGAGGCAAGCUUAGAAAUCGGAGAGGCAUUUGCUUUUCCAGACGUGUCAGCAUCUGUCGCAUGCACGCUCAGCUUUGCGGAAAUCACAGGCAGUUUGUCGAAGCGCCGAUUCCAGAUAUCGAAGAGGCAUUUGCUUUAUCUAGACGUGUCAGCAUCUGUCACAUGCACACUCAGCUUACGGAAAUUAUGGGCAAUCUGUCGAAGAUUUCUGGUGAAGUAGAAAGCACGUGAAGUCUACUAUUCAAUCAUCCAACGGUUGCCGACAAGAGUGAAAGAAUAGUACCGGUUAUUAUUUCCUAUAAAUGUCGACCUUCACCCUCCAUAGCAAGGCAGACAUACAUAACCUUCCUUUAUCUCUGAGAAUGCCUUCCCAACGAAGCCUCUCGAGUCACUCAGUGUUCCUUAUUCCUUGGGAUACCUCUGCAAACAACUCAUCCAAAGCAAAAGUAUUUCAUAUCAUGAAGGUUGAAAGCAAGAGUAUCUCAUAUCAUGCUUUCUCCAUGUCCUUCUCCUUGUCGUUGUUUUCAUCUGCGGGACAAGGAGAAAGAGAGCAAUCAGCCAGCACUUAGUAUCAAUCUUCCGAUCUGGAACCGACUGCCUGGAACCCCUUCCUGAUUGUUUACCUAGCCCUGGUCUCGAGUACUCAUCUUCAACAUCUUAUACUUCCUCUUCAUCUACCACAUCUGCCUGGGGAACAAAUAAGGGAAGUGAAAAUGAUACCUCGAAGCAUGUGGAGACAAUGUGCUAAUUCAUCCUCAGCUAGGGACAAGGAGAAAGAAAGCAAGAGGUGGGCACUUGGAAAGAUUGAAGAAAGAAACAGACCAACACCUCUACCUCAUGCCUGCCUGCCGUGCAGAAGAAACAAGCGGAAAAGAAUGCAGACUGCACAAUCAAAUCAAACCAACAGAAGGAGUCUGAUUUGAAAGCAAGGAACUCUCGCUCAGAAUUCCGAACCAGUUCGAGAUCAAAGCUGUGGAAAAACAGCAAGAUCACCUAUCUCCAAAACCAGAUUUGCGUUCUUAAACUCUACUCUGUCUGGUUUUUACUUUGCUAUACUUGUCAUGUUUAUUUGGUUGCUUGUUUUUGUGUGGGUUUAUGCUUGAAACAUUGAGGACAAUGUUUAAUCUAAGUGUUGGGGGGGGGGUAACCAUUGUUUUGCAUGAAAUUCGUAGGAGUUUAUCACCCAUUACUUCUAGUGUUGUUCCUUGCUGUUUUAAGUGUUUUUAAGCUGUUUUGGAGUGUUUUAGUGUGUUUUGACAUAAAAAUCAGAAAAUCUCAUAAAAAUUUGAAAAAAAAAUUGUUUUGAAAAACCCAAAAAAAGUUGUUUUUAUGUGUUUGUUUGUGUCUUAGGGUACCUUCCAACACAAUGAUGAUGAUUUGGUUUUCAAUUACAUGACUGGUAAAGAGAGUUAUAAACAUGGAUGAAAAUUUGAUUUACUCUUUGGUGUAUGCUUGGUUGUGGUUUAAAUUUAUGAAUUCACAUGCAAUCAUAAAAGAAAAAUCAGUUUUGUAACAUGCUUGAAGGAAGGAACUCAAAUGAACGCUACAACCUUGUGAGACUUGAGCCUAAAACGUUUAUUUGGAGAGUUAAUAAUCUGUGCAUUCUUGUUUUCUAAAGUCGUUGCAUGAUCUCAUUAUUCUUUGCUUGGUCACUACUUAGAAGGCGUUUCAUCAUUUAGUUCCAAAUGCUAGAACUCAUGCCUAUUUCAUUCAAAGCAUGCUAUUGAUUUGCAUAACACAUAUUCAAGAUGAAGUUGUGUAGUGACCACCACCAAAGCCAAAUUGUUGUGUAUCCUACUUCAUUAUAUGUUUAAGUUUAACCCCGUUGAGCCUUGUGUAGCCUAUAUUAUUUGUUAACCCACACUAUCCUCACCUAGCCUAGAUUAGGACCAUCCAUACCCUUGUUCUUAAAGCAUAGUAAAACAUAAUUUAGAAGGAAUUCCUUUUGUUGAACUUUUGCAGAAAAAACAAGUGUGGGGGAAGUGAUUCUUGUGUGUGUAUGUGUGCCAAAGUCCUUAAUAAGGCACGGGUAGAAAAGAAAAAGAAAAAAAAAACAUUCGUGGAAAAUAGAAUGAAAAGAAGAAAAGUUGUGAAAAAGAGCCCUAAGUGUUGCAUGAAUCUUCCCUUUGUAUUUAAAAGUUGAUUCUGCAUUCUAAAGUGAAUUCCAAAGUGUCUAUUUCAUUGCUUUGCUUGCUAUCGCUUUAAGAACAUUUGUUAUUCCUAUCCUUUCUUUAUUAGCCAUUACUCCCAAGCCCCGUUACGACCUUUGACUUCUAUCUUGAGUGUUAUGUGUUUCAAUUUGUGGAGUUUGAAUUUGGUAUGAGCAUAUGGUGUCACUGGUUCUCGCAUCUAAGUAGUAGCAUUCCAUUCAUGAGAUCAUAUUUAAACAUGCUUAUUAACUCCAGAAAUUGCUUUCUUUGUUGUAACACAUGUGAGUACUAGUCUUUCAUGUUUACAUCAAUCUUCUCACAUAUAUCUAGUGUAGGGUGUGUAGUCAGAAAAUGUGUGUGAAAAUAGAGAGUAUCUUGUAAGGAAUUGAGCAAAUUCUCUAAGGCAUGUUACUACAUUCAAAACAUUGUUUUAAUUGGUUAAUUGUGAACUAGUGAGUGGUGACAGUGAUUAAGUAUGUGCUCAAGUGCUAAGUUGACUAAAAUCUGUGGGAAUGAUGAUUUUUAACUUGUCAUGUGCGUUGGAAAUCCCUAAGGCAAACGUUUGAAGGUUUAGGUUGUGUUUUGUUUUCUUUAUUUUGCUCGAGGACUGGCAAAAGCUAAGUGUGGGGGUAUUUGAUAAGCUCAUAUUUAUAUAUAUUUUACAUAAAAUUCACUUGCCUUUUCUUAGUUAGUUCCUUAAUUUUUGAGCUAUUUACUAUGUUUUUGUGUUUUGUGUGAUUUAUCAAGCAAAGAAAAGAAAAGUAGCACAAGUGGGAUAUUAAGUAACAAAUUCGUCAAAACUGCCUGUGCAGAUUAGCUGACUUUGGAAGCAUGUUACGAACAGCUCAGAAUGAAUGAGAUAAUGAGCCUUAUAUUCUUGGAAAGCUACAGAUGUCUAUUUUCUGGAGCAAUUUACAGAUUGUUAAUAUCCUUUUUCUAGAAGAAGUUAUGGGCAUUGUAACACUGAAAGGUUCAGAAAAGGGCUAAGCAGAUUUGGCUAAUAAAAUGAGAAAGUAAAGGCACUUGUUUUGUGUUUUGCUUUGUCAUCAACACUCAGCAACAAAUGGGGUUAUGAUUGCACUCAUUUGUCUUUGGAGCAAGUGGAAAUGCACAGCUAGAAAGAGAGGACAUCAAACAGCUCACACACAUGCAAGGAUGACAUUUACACACAUGCAAACUGCAUGGACAGGUUGGAGGACAGAAAAUGUGUUUGUUUUGUGGUUGAAAUGAUGAGGAACAUGUGUGUGCAAAUUGGCAAAGGAAACACACACACAUGGGCAAAGGAAAGGCACGACAUGAGCAUAAAAUACACCACUACAUUCACUCAUUACCACAACACUCACCCUUGUCCCCUUCAUUAUUUCUGUUUUCAUGCACCAUUACAUUUAAUCAUUGCACUCAAGUGGUGCACAUCCCUUGUCCCCUUCACCCAUCAGAUUUCAUUCACUUUCACCUCCACUACAUGCACUCAUUGAUGCACCACUCCUUCACCUUCCUUGCCCAUGCCGUGCAUCAUGAAUCCACUUGCACCUAUGACUAAUUUAUACACCAUUCCACCUCCCUUUCCUUUAUCUACCAUGUGCACAAUCAUUCAUGUUCUCCACUUGCAUUCAUAGCUGCAACACCACUCCAUUUCACCCCCCAUGCUUUGCAUCAUUACUUCACUUUCACCUUUGAAUCAUUGCUCACACCACCAUCCAUCCCUCCAUGCCAUGCACUUCCUCUAUAAAAGGAAGUGUGUGUGGCAGCCAUUACAUUCAGUUUUUGCUUGAUAAUUCAUCCCCAAUUCAAUACAACUUUCAUCCAAACACAUCCAUUCAUCUUCACAUCCAUUCCUCCAUACAACCAAACCUUCAAACACUCACCAACACCUUGUGCCGUAGCAAAGGAAGGGAAGGAAUGUGCUUGGACGUGCAUGUUGUCCAACUUGGAUCGUUGGAGCGUUUAGGUGUUUUCUUUCUUUUGUUUUCAAUGUCUAAAUUUGUUUAUCUUUGCUUUGUAAGUAUGAGGAACUAAACCCCCCUUAGCUAGGGGGAAUUCGAAACCAUGUUCAUACUUGCAAUAUGAUUUGAUUACCUUCAGUGUGACUUCAUAAAUUGUGAAUUCAAUUUGUUUAACUGCUUGAUUGAUAACUUAUUCGUGUAUGUUUAUUAAGAGUGCACACUUAGUUUGCAUGCAUGAAUAUGAUGCUAGAGUAUAAAGAAGUUUCACUUAAUAGUUACAAAUUUAUAUUCAUAAGUAGUGGAGGUCGCUUAUAAACGAUUGCGUUAAAUGAAUUCUUGGCAGGAGUUUCAUGCUCAUCAUAGUAACGAAUGCCUCGUCAAUAAUUAUAGUUUUCAUGAUGCUUAAUGAUCUUUGAUUGUAUCUUUAUUGUGUUGUUCACGUGAAGGACUUUUGAAGAAUGCUUGAAUUGUUGUAUGCGCUUUUCCAUCCAAUUCAAUAACUUAAGGAGAACUUGAAGGUUAAUUUAAGGGGACUUAAUUAACCUGGGGUGUUGAGUUUCAUGAUUGAUCGAAAGAACAACUAAAAAUUGGUUUAUGUGCAAGUAUGUCAUGUGUGGAGAAGUACCCUUUAGCUAGCCCAUCAUCCAUAGUUUAACCCAUCACCCAUCAAUUCACCUAAAUUUGUCUAAGAAUCUGUUUAAAUUGUUCUUGCUUUGUUUUCCUUAUUUUCGUCCAAAACCAAAAUCCCCUUUAUUUUAUUAAGUAAUAUUAGUUACUACUUGCUUUAGAUUGUGUUUUUAAGUGUUUUAAGUCAAGAUAAAAUCAAUUUUCGUCCAAACUUUGUGUUAGUGGCAGAAACUGCCUUAGAGUUGUUUUUAGGCAGUUUUGAGUCUCUAUAAUCUAUUUUGAGUCUUGUGACUUUGUUUUGAGUCUUGUAAGUUUAAUUUCAUGCUUUUAAGUUUGUUUUCUCAUAUUUAAGUCAGUUUCAAGUGUUUUAGCAAUCCCUCCUAAUCCCUGGCCUAGAACGAUUCCUACUUACAUUCUUUACUACAAUUGACAACAAGAGGGUUUAAUUUGUGUGUUAAGUAAAUUUUCGCAUCAAUCUCUCUAAGGACGUUUCCAUAAUCUAGAAUUUCCUGAUGAGUUGGAUAGAAUGAGUAAGUGAUAGUAAGAUUCACAAUAGGCUAUUCGGGACCUUGUGUUGUGGAUUUCCUCUUCCA
This 12853-nucleotide long non-coding RNA is filed under the name Malus domestica (apple). RNAcentral describes it as "long non-coding RNA (MDOM_LNC017005)". The record is from RNAcentral. Lineage: Eukaryota; Viridiplantae; Streptophyta; Magnoliopsida; Rosales; Rosaceae.